GCCUCCUUAGCUCAGCUGGUUAGAGCGCCGGACUGUUAAUCCGUAGGUCCUAGGUUCGAGUCCUAGAGGAGGCG
This 74-nucleotide transfer RNA is filed under the name Bacteroidota bacterium. RNAcentral describes it as "Bacteroidetes bacterium tRNA-Asn". It matches the Rfam family "tRNA". From Rfam's summary of the family: Transfer RNA (tRNA) molecules are approximately 80 nucleotides in length. Their secondary structure includes four short double-helical elements and three loops (D, anti-codon, and T loops). Further hydrogen bonds mediate the characteristic L-shaped molecular structure. tRNAs have two regions of fundamental functional importance: the anti-codon, which is responsible for specific mRNA codon recognition, and the 3' end, to which the tRNAs corresponding amino acid is attached (by aminoacyl-tRNA synthetases). tRNAs cope with the degeneracy of the genetic code in two manners: having more than one tRNA (with a specific anti-codon) for a particular amino acid; and 'wobble' base-pairing, i.e. permitting non-standard base-pairing at the 3rd anti-codon position. The record is from RNAcentral. Lineage: Bacteria; Pseudomonadati; Bacteroidota. RNAcentral also lists the same sequence under 2 other names.